RNAcentral lists this ribozyme (70 nucleotides) under unclassified sequences. RNAcentral's name for it is "Hairpin ribozyme 1 from viruses-like metatranscriptomes". It matches the Rfam family "Hairpin ribozyme 1 from viruses-like metatranscriptomes". The record is from Rfam by way of RNAcentral.
AGGCAGUCCCUCUUUUUGAGGAGAAGCCAGCCAGGGAAACACAUUCUUAAUGGAUGGAAAAUUAACUGGC